Non-coding RNA from Monodelphis domestica (gray short-tailed opossum), 1945 nucleotides. The record is from RefSeq and is a predicted model, not a curated record. Lineage: Eukaryota; Metazoa; Chordata; Mammalia; Didelphimorphia; Didelphidae.
GAGAGGAGGCCUUGCAGCCACUCCUACUACCUGGAGCUGGGGAGGAAUCACAGAAUGGAUGCAGGAAUCCCAGUCAGCACUGGCACAUGCUCCGAUCUAGGAAGCUCUCAGCCCCAGGAUGUGACUGAAGGGAAUGGUGCUGACCCAGGAGCUGAGAGGGGUCUUGGGGGAAGCAGGCUCGGAGAGGUUGGGACUUGCCCCAUGUCACGCAGCUAACACUUGCCUCAGCAUUCCGUGGCACAAAGGAAUCUGCUCAUCCAAUCUGGAGCCUGCCUCAAGUUGAGAGGAAUCGAAGGUGAAAGGUGGUGCCAUGGAUGUAAAUUCCUCCUCACUGGACCCAAACACAUGGCUACACAUCCUGGGAAAGAAAUCCGGAGCUCUCCGUGAGCGGAUGUCAGAGCAGCAGGAAGGGGGCCAUGCCUGAGGCCUUCACUGGGGGUCCCCACAGAGCAGGCCUUGGCAUGGCAGGGGAAGCUGUGGUUGCUAGCAGGGGGUGAAGGGAUCAGACCACCAGAGGGUCCACCAGAGGAGGAGGGAGUUCUUCAGCCUGGAGAAGGUGGGAGUGGGGGAGAUUUGGAACGGAAAAGCAUUGCAAAAGGGACCAACCUAGGUUUAAUGUCAGGGAAAACUCCCAGAGUGGUCCCUCUGCAGGUCCAGUCAAGGCUAUCAGGGCAUUCUUCUGGGGUCUGGGAUCCCGAUUCUUUAGGGGGGUGUCGAGCGGGCCCUUUUCUACGCUUCCCCUUGGCAAUCUCAUCCUUCCUCCCCUGGGAGGCCCAGCAGGGUCCUUGACAAGCAGCAGAGAUCCGGCACCUGGGUCCUCUGUGUCCCCCACGCUUGAGGUUGCCUUUGAUCUGCUUGCACAAUGCCAGUGGCCAGCCGGAGUCCUGAUGCCUCGGCUUGGCACUGGGGGCGGGGGCGACAAUCUGCUUUUCCAGCCCCAGCGCCCAUUUGUUUCCCUGCCAAAGUGGCUCCAGCGCUACACCUCCCCCACUUUGCUCCAGCUGUUCCUGUGCUUGGAAUGUCCCCCUCCCACGUUUACACCUGUUGAAAUCAUUCUCCUUCCUCCAAGCCCCAGAUCCAAUAGCAACCCCCGCCACGGAAGCAUUUUCCAGGGCCUCCCAUAGCUCUCCAGCGGGAGCAUCCUCCCUAAUGCCUGCCUCGCACUGCCGGGCAUGAAACCUUCAAGAGGGCUCUGUAGGGGCUAGCGGGAAAGGGAGAAGGCCAGAAGAGCUGCUGAUUUCUCACUUGAAAGCGGGAUUCUCAGGAAGACAAGGGGGAGGGGGGGCCAACUUUAGCCACAGCCUCUGGUGUCGCCACAUUGGAUUUUUCUCCGGGGCCACGCGGGGUGCAGGAAGCGAGGCUUUCUCAAAUCUGUCACCCAUAAAACCACCAGCGAGGCAAGCUGUGAUUUAUUUGUGCAGCCCAAGCCAACUGCCACGAGCCAAAGGCUGGCCCAACCCUGCCCAUAAGGGUCUCCAAGACUCCCCAGAGCGGGGACCCCUCUGAAAAAGCAGCCUUCCGAUGGCUCCCCGUGUGGAGACAGCAAACGGUCACUCCUUAUCUUGGGGCAAGUUCUCCCUCCUCUCUGGCCGGCCGGUGCAAGAGCAGGACUUCUAAAGCGUCCCAGGACCCAGCGGUGCCAACAAUUCCUGCAAGUGGCCCCUUUGUGGCUGAUACUUGCACAAGAAAGGCUUGCAAAGUGCUUAAUUAUUCAAACCCCAAAGGAGCCAAGUGGAAAUGGAGGAAGGCCAAAAGGAACCCCCUAGGGUGCCCAUCCGCUCCCUGGGCCAGAUGGGGAAUGAAACCUUCUCUUCCCCAGUGCCAAUAGGGCAGGGCGGAAAAGGGGGGUGGGCCAGCGGGGCCAGGAGCACGCGCACACUCACAAGCAGCCGAAGGACACGGGCUCAUUUUCAACCAAGCUUUUAAUGAAAAGAUCAUAAAAUAA